AAUGUCGGUGGCUUUUCCACCGACAACCCUUAAUAAUUCCACAAAAAUACAUUUUACUCCCUUGGCCUCUGUCUGUGAUUCAUAAUUGAAGAAGAUGAUUAACGGAUGCUCGACUUUGACCCAACGAAUCGCUUGAAAUUUCCGCUUCUUCUUCAUUCGAAUAUUCGAUCGCACAGAAUGUGUUUUUUGCCGCUUUUCUUUUUCGUUUUGUUGGUUUAGCCAAAGGCAUGUUCUUGAUUUUUUAGUGCUUUCUUAAUUUUGUUUGUUGGAGGUGUGUUGUAAUUGAACGUUUUCUGAUGCAUGAGAGUUGAAAUAUCUCGAUUUUGCCUUUAGUGGAUUGGGUCGGUGUAUGCACUCCAACUGUUUGUUUGCUUGACUCAGAGGUGUUGAAAUAUCUAAAUUAUACUCUUGCAUAUGAAGUAUGCUGAUGUUCCAUUGUGUAAUGCAGGGAGCGGUACUCUUUAGCCGGCAUAAAUAAUACAAGUGAUGGGAACUUUUUGAAGACAAAUCAAAGUGCAGAGAGCAUAUUAUAGUUUCCAAGAAGCCCAACCAAAUUAAGAAGACCAAUUUCUCUUUAAAGUAUACUAGUCAACUCAAAACGUUUCGUCGUAAAUUUAGUCUGAAUUGAAUGGGGUCAAAUAUAAUACGUUCUUAUUCAACGAUAUAAAUUCGAGUUAAUGUAUGUUUCGACCCCGCCGCAAUGCGCUAGGGGUAAAACUUCAACCCUUGAUAUGAAUGUCUUUUGAUUACACGUGUCAGUUUUUCUUUUAUACACGUUUUAUGUUUUUUUUGUACAUUUCCUAUGUAUGAGUUGGGUCAUAUAUAAAUAUGUUAUGAUUGUACAGUAUAAAUUCGAUUACCUUACAUUUUGAUCCAACCGCAAUGCUAUUGAGUUAUAUCGGAUAAGUCAAAACGCGUGUUUUCAUAUGGUGUACACAUCACAUAACGCUUAUACUAAUCCGUUCGAUGUUCGCACUGUACCCGCGCGGGUCUAAUUACUAGUUGUUUUUAAAUCAAUAUUACAUAUUCACUAUUCUUAUUAAGACUUGAGUAUCAAUGAUAAUGUCUAUCUAAAAUAAAUACGUACACGAGCCACCAAGACCGAAAAUAAAUACUAACCUUCUCAAUGUUGUCCAUCAUAAUCCCUUUAACCUCUGUUAUCUGAGCUU
RNAcentral lists this long non-coding RNA (1169 nucleotides) under Helianthus annuus (common sunflower). RNAcentral's name for it is "hypothetical non coding rna". The record is from RNAcentral. Lineage: Eukaryota; Viridiplantae; Streptophyta; Magnoliopsida; Asterales; Asteraceae.